This 443-nucleotide ribosomal RNA is filed under the name uncultured bacterium. Its description in RNAcentral is "partial 16S ribosomal RNA". It matches the Rfam family "Bacterial small subunit ribosomal RNA", at positions 338 to 795 of the family's 1533-position model. The record is from RNAcentral.
CCUACGGGAGGCAGCAGUGGGGAAUAUUGGACAAUGGGGGGAACCCUGAUCCAGUGACGCCGCGUGAGUGAAGAAGUAUUUCGGUAUGUAAAGCUCUAUCAGCAGGGAAGAAAGAAAUGACGGUACCUGACUAAGAAGCCCCGGCUAACUACGUGCCAGCAGCCGCGGUAAUACGUAGGGGGCAAGCGUUAUCCGGAUUUACUGGGUGUAAAGGGAGCGUAGACGGCGAUGCAAGUCUGAAGUGAAAGGCGGGGGCCCAACCCCCGGACUGCUUUGGAAACUGUAUGGCUGGAGUGCAGGGGAGGUAAGUGGAAUUCCUAGUGUAGCGGUGAAAUGCGUAGAUAUUAGGAGGAACACCAGUGGCGAAGGCGGCUUACUGGACUGUAACUGACGUUGAGGCUCGAAAGCGUGGGGAGCAAACAGGAUUAGAUACCCCGGUAGUC